This 224-nucleotide ribosomal RNA is filed under the name uncultured bacterium. RNAcentral describes it as "partial 16S ribosomal RNA". It matches the Rfam family "Bacterial small subunit ribosomal RNA", at positions 107 to 334 of the family's 1533-position model. The record is from RNAcentral.
UGAGUAAUACAUCGGAACGUGUCUUCUAGUGGGGGAUAACUGCCCGAAAGGGCAGCUAAUACCGCAUGAGACCUGAGGGUGAAAGCGGGGGGUCGCAAGACCUCGCGCUGGAAGAGCGGCCGAUGUCCGAUUAGCUAGUUGGUGAGGUAAAGGCUCACCAAGGCGACGAUCGGUAGCUGGUCUGAGAGGACGACCAGCCACACUGGGACUGAGACACGGCCCAG